Carlito syrichta (Philippine tarsier) is the source of this 797-nucleotide RNA transcript. It is a transcript of the gene named sodium/bile acid cotransporter 7, with no coding region annotated. Lineage: Eukaryota; Metazoa; Chordata; Mammalia; Primates; Tarsiidae. The transcript is spliced from 3 exons. The record is from RefSeq and is a predicted model, not a curated record.
UAUUACAAGAUGCGUGGUAGUGAUGGCGGCGCUCUGUGAGACUUUCCUGUCACUGGAUACUACUACUCCCAGCCCGCUUCCAAACCGCCGGAGCAACCCCCAGGUCUUUAGUUUACAAGUGGCAAUUUGACUUUCUCUGCUGCAUGUCUGGAGGGACCGAGGAAAGUCUGGAGACGCCCCGGGGAUUAAGCGAUCGCAGCUUGAAAAGAAAAAAAGCCAAACAAAUAAACAAAACCCACCCACCCUAACAAACAUGAGGCUGCUGGAGAGGCUGAGGAAAGAAUGGUUCAUGAUCGGAAUAGUGCUGGCGAUCGCCGGAGCCAAACUGAAGCCGUCCAUAGGGGUGAAUGGGGGACCACUGAAGCCAGAAAUUACUGUAUCCUACAUUGCUGUUGCUACAAUAUUCUUUAACAGUGGACUAUCAUUAAAAACGGAGCUUCUUAAAGCUAUUCUGUAAAGCAGCCAAUUUUGUGGAAUGCAGGAGUUGAAGAAGGAAGAAUGUCACAGCUAUUAGCAUUUCUCUAAGAACCGACUUCUUUUGUAAGCACCUAAGAAACCUUCAGCUUCAACCAGCUAAUUUGGAUCUAAUGAUGAAAUGCCUUGAUCGCAUGCUUUAUCAUGGUAUCUAAGUGGUCAUCAAACCAUUACCUGCAUCAAAGGCCCUUUUCAAACAAAUACAACAUUAAGUUCUUUUCAAAACCAUUUAACCUAGAUUGCCUCAUUGUGUAAUAUUAAACCACUUCUAAGCCCUGCUAAUUUCCUGAGUAAUUUAACUUGUAAAUUAGGAGGUAGCAAUC